UUUCCGUAGGUGAACCUGCGGAAGGAUCAUUAUUGUAUAACCGAGGUGCGAGGGCUGUCGCUGACCCGACAGGUCGUGCACGCCCGAGUGCCCUCACCCACAUCCAUCUCACCCCUUUGUGCACCACCGCGUGGGUCCCCCUUUGGCUUGUUCGGUGGGGGGCUUACGUUUUCACACAAACUUUGUAUGCAGUGUAGAAUGUAUUUUUUGUUUUUGCGAUCACGCAAUCAAUACAACUUUCAACAACGGAUCUCUUGGCUCUC
This 263-nucleotide unclassified non-coding RNA is filed under the name plant metagenome. RNAcentral describes it as "partial contains small subunit ribosomal RNA, internal transcribed spacer 1, and 5.8S ribosomal RNA". The record is from RNAcentral.